GUUCAGUUUGGCAAUGUGGGUCUCCCACCUUAAUGACUUUUGAUUUUUUUAAAAUGGUGAAAACAUGUAUUUUUAGAAUCGGUCACUUGGAACCAGUUUAGAUGGUCCCAGUUUUGUUGACAACACUGAAAGUAUCAUAAGCAGGCGCUAACUGUCCAAGACCUCCUUCUUCCACCAGGUCUGCCCAGGGUGUUGCCCUUGGUGGCAUCAGUGUCGCAGAGCUGCUUUCACAGCCUGUUGGAUCUGGUGCGUGUCACUCUCGAUGUCCAAGGGCGCUGUCUUGUGUCUUCUCUCACAGCAGAUUUAGUGGUCGGGAAAUUUGAUGUGGUGGUUAGACGCCUUUCUCCUGGGGAUCCUCUUCUGACAGAAUCUGGGCUGCCUGCAGAGCCACAGGGUGAAUUUGGGGUCCCUAGAAGUACAGGGAGAAGCUUCCUAUGGAGUUCUUUUAUCUGCCUAUUUGGAUCUUCCAAAGAGGAACACCACUGAAAUUUCUCUAAUCAGAAGAGGCUAAACUCAUCGGAGAAAGACUGAAACCUGUGGGUACAUCUGGAAACACAUGCAGACUGAGCUGCAUUAUAGACCAUUGUCCUCCAUUUUGGUUCCACUUAGCAUUCCAAAGCAAAUUACUUUUUUUUACCUUUGACUGUUCUGCAGGCUUUCCAGACUCUGUCCCUGGCUUUGUUUUAUGUCCUCAAAGUUUAGUGAAUUCCCCAGAAAGUCAUUCACUAUUCCCCGCUUUCCCUUGCUUUUUUUUUGGAAGCAAGAUAUCAUUAUGUAGUUCAAGCUGGCUUGAACAGUCCAGGCUGGCCUCGAACUCAUGGUGAUCCUCCUGCCUUGGCCCCCUGAGUGCUGGGAUUACAGGUAUGUGUCAUCACAUCACUAUCCCUUAAUAAUGGCCCUUCCUGUUCCUUAUUGAAGAGGGUAUUUAAGCUCAAUGAUCUAAUCUUUCCUUUGAGUCUCACCUUUGUUUGACUCCUGUGUUGUGAUUUUUCCUGGCAUGACAAUAAAUUUCUGUGUCUUUCUCCAGU
Molecule: long non-coding RNA, 1028 nt
Filed under: Cavia porcellus (domestic guinea pig)
Lineage: Eukaryota; Metazoa; Chordata; Mammalia; Rodentia; Caviidae
Description: lncRNA (ENSCPOG00000031732.1)
Source: RNAcentral